CCUACGGGAGGCUGCAGUGGGGAAUAUUGGACAAUGGGGGGAACCCUGAUCCAGCCAUGCCGCGUGUGUGAAGAAGGCCCUCGGGUUGUAAAGCACUUUCAGUGAGGAAGAACGCCUGGUGGUUAAUACCCAUCAGGAAAGACAUCACUCACAGAAGAAGCACCGGCUAACUCCGUGCCAGCAGCCGCGGUAAUACGGAGGGUGCGAGCGUUAAUCGGAAUUACUGGGCGUAAAGCGCGCGUAGGUGGCUGAUAAGCCGGUUGUGAAAGCCCCGGGCUCAACCUGGGAACGGCAUCCGGAACUGUCAAGCUAGAGUGCAGGAGAGGAAGGUAGAAUUCCCGGUGUAGCGGUGAAAUGCGUAGAGAUCGGGAGGAAUACCAGUGGCGAAGGCGGCCUUCUGGACUGACACUGACACUGAGGUGCGAAAGCGUGGGUAGCAAACAGGAUUAGAUACCCCAGUAGUC
RNAcentral lists this ribosomal RNA (464 nucleotides) under Vreelandella stevensii. RNAcentral describes it as "partial 16S ribosomal RNA". It matches the Rfam family "Bacterial small subunit ribosomal RNA", at positions 338 to 795 of the family's 1533-position model. Lineage: Bacteria; Pseudomonadati; Pseudomonadota; Gammaproteobacteria; Oceanospirillales; Halomonadaceae. The record is from RNAcentral.